UCGGAUGUGGUGCAUGGGCACGGCGGCGUUUAAUUCAGCAUAAAGCAUUAUUCAGCCGCAACCCGGGGUUCGAUUCCCCAUAUCUGAA
This is a non-coding RNA of Mycena rebaudengoi, 88 nucleotides long. NCBI's taxonomy places the organism in Eukaryota, Fungi, Basidiomycota, Agaricomycetes, Agaricales, Mycenaceae. The record is from the annotation of a GenBank genome assembly.